This 465-nucleotide ribosomal RNA is filed under the name uncultured bacterium. Its description in RNAcentral is "partial 16S ribosomal RNA". It matches the Rfam family "Bacterial small subunit ribosomal RNA", at positions 28 to 507 of the family's 1533-position model. The record is from RNAcentral.
GAUGAACGCUGGCGGCGUGCUUAACACAUGCAAGUCGAACGGAAAGGCUCCUGCUUGCAGGGGUACUCGAGUGGCGAACGGGUGAGUAACACAUGGGUGAUCUGCCCUGCACUUCGGGAUAAGCCUGGGAAACUGGGUCUAAUACCGGAUAGGACGAUGGUUUGGAUGCCAUUGUGGAAAGUUUUUCGGUGUGGGAUGAGCUCGCGGCCUAUCAGCUUGUUGGUGGGGUAAUGGCCUACCAAGGCGUCGACGGGUAGCCGGCCUGAGAGGGUGUACGGCCACAUUGGGACUGAGAUACGGCCCAGACUCCUACGGGAGGCAGCAGUGGGGAAUAUUGCACAAUGGGCGCAAGCCUGAUGCAGCGACGCCGCGUGGGGGAUGACGGCCUUCGGGUUGUAAACUCCUUUCGCUAGGGACGAAGCGCAAGUGACGGUACCUGGAGAAGAAGCACUGGCUAACUACGUG